RNAcentral lists this long non-coding RNA (497 nucleotides) under Homo sapiens (human). RNAcentral describes it as "non-protein coding lnc-DUOXA1-3:1". Lineage: Eukaryota; Metazoa; Chordata; Mammalia; Primates; Hominidae. The record is from RNAcentral.
GGACCAUGACAGCGAGCUCCGCUUCACGCAGCUCUGUGUCAAAGGUGGAGGUGGAGGUGGAAAUGGUAUUAGAGAUAUCUUUAAACAAAACAUCAGCUGUCGAGUCUCGUUCAUCACUCGGACACCUGGGGAGCGGUGAGCAGGAAUGGGGCUCUGGCAGGUUGGCCUGGCUGAGCCCCCUGCAGAGAAAUGAAGGGAGUAGGACUGGCUGAUCAGCCCCUGGUAAAAUCAGGCAUUUGCCCUUUGAAAGUAGCUCAUGGUAGCACAAACAUUCCAGCUGCCUCUCUCACCCUAUGCUGCUCGGAUGCUUGGCUCUCUCCCUGCUGCUCCAGGCCAGAAUCAUUCUACAAAACAAAUCAUGAGAUCCUAUUAAUUCAUUUUGUGCCUUGCCCCCUGCCUGGUACCAGGAGCCACUCCCUACCUCUACCCCAUGCUCUGCCCAGGGAGUUGUUCUCCUGGCUGCAAAGACAAGGGGAGAACAGCCCCAUUUCUUUUUC